CACGUAGGCGGCCUGGUAAGUCAGAUGUGAAAGCCCGGGGCUUAACCCCGGAAGUGCAUUUGAUACUGUCAGGCUUGAGUAUGGGAGAGGGAAGUGGAAUUCCUGGUGUAGAGGUGAAAUUCGUAGAUAUCAGGAGGAACACCGGUGGCGAAGGCGACUUCCUGGACCAAUACUGACGCUGAGGCGCGAAGGCGUGGGGAGCAAACAGGAUUAGAUACCCUGGUAGUCC
RNAcentral lists this ribosomal RNA (229 nucleotides) under uncultured bacterium. Its description in RNAcentral is "partial 16S ribosomal RNA". It matches the Rfam family "Bacterial small subunit ribosomal RNA", at positions 568 to 796 of the family's 1533-position model. The record is from RNAcentral.